AUUGAACGCUGGCGGCAUGCCUUACACAUGCAAGUCGAACGGCAGCACGGGAGCAAUCCUGGUGGCGAGUGGCGAACGGGUGAGUAAUGUAUCGGAACGUGCCCAGUCGUGGGGGAUAACGUAGCGAAAGCUACGCUAAUACCGCAUACGAUCUAUGGAUGAAAGCGGGUGAUCGCAAGACCUCGCGCGAUUGGAGCGGCCGAGAUCAGAUUAGGUAGUUGGUGGGGUAAAGGCCCACCAAGCCUGCGAUCUGUAGCUGGUCUGGGAGGACGACCAGCCACACUGGAACUGAGACACGGUCCAGACUCCUACGGGAGGCAGCAGUGGGGAAUUUUGGACAAUGGGCGCAAGCCUGAUCCAGCAAUGCCGCGUGCAGGAUGAAGGCCUUCGGGUUGUAAACUGCUUUUGUACGGAACGAAACGGCUUUUUCUAAUACAGAGAGCUAAUGACGGUACCGUAAGAAUAAGCACCGGCUAACUACGUGCCAGCCGCCGCCGUAA
This 500-nucleotide ribosomal RNA is filed under the name uncultured bacterium. RNAcentral's name for it is "partial 16S ribosomal RNA". It matches the Rfam family "Bacterial small subunit ribosomal RNA", at positions 30 to 523 of the family's 1533-position model. The record is from RNAcentral.